RNAcentral lists this ribosomal RNA (915 nucleotides) under uncultured archaeon. Its description in RNAcentral is "bacterial SSU rRNA". It matches the Rfam family "Archaeal small subunit ribosomal RNA", at positions 1 to 922 of the family's 1478-position model. The record is from RNAcentral.
UUUCCGGUUGAUCCUGCCGCCGGACACUGCUAUCAGGUUUCGGCUAAGCCAUGCGAGUCUAGGGAUCGCAAGAUACCGGCAUACUGCUCAGUAACACGCGGAUAAUCUGCCCCCAGGUGAAGAAUACCCUCGGGAAACUGAGGCUAAUACUUCAUAAUCACUAUAUGCUGGAAUGCUUUGGUGAUGAAAGAAUUUCGCCUGAGGAUGAGUCUGCGGCCUAUCAGGUCGUAUGUGGUGUAAUGGACCACAUAGCCUAAGACGGGUACGGGCCUUGAAAGAGGGAGCCCGGAGAUGGACUCUGAGACAUUAGUCCAGGCCCUACGGGGCGCAGCAGGCGCGAAAACUGUGCAAUGUGCGAAAGCGCGACACGGGAAGCCUGAGUGCCUUAACACAGUUAAGGCUUUUCUCAAGCCUAAAGAGCUUGAGGAAUAAGAGCUGGGUAAGACGGGUGCCAGCCGCCGCGGUAACACCCGCAGCUCGAGUGGUGGUCACUUUUAUUGAGCCUAAAGCGUUUGUAGCCGGAUCCGUAAAUCUCCAGGAAAAUUCCUUCGCUCAACGAAGGAUCUUCUGGAGAGACUGCGGAUCUAGGGACCGGGUGAGGUUGAAUGUACUUCUGGGGUAGGGGUAAAAUCCUGUAAUCCUGGAAGGACGACCGGUGGCGAAGGUGUUCAACUAGAACGGAUCCGACGGUGAGGAACGAGGGCUAGGGGAGCAAACCGGAUUAGAUACCCGGGUAGUCCUAGCUGUAAACACUGCCCACUUGAUGUUGCAUCUCCGUGUAGGGGGUGCAGUGUCGUAGCGAAGGUGUUAAGUGGGCCGCUUGGGGAGUAUGGUCGCAAGGCUGAAACUUAAAGGAAUUGGCGGGGGAGCACCACAACGGGAGGAGCGUGCGGUUUAAUUGGAUUCAACGCCGGG